UUGAAGAUCUUGUGACUGAGUGGCGGACGGGUGAGUAACGCGUGGGCAACCUGCCUUGUACAGGGGGAUAACAGUUAGAAAUGACUGCUAAUACCGCAUAAGACCACAGCAUCACAUGAUGCAGGGGUAAAAACUGAGGUGGUACAAGAUGGGCCCGCGUCUGAUUAGCUGGUUGGUGAGGUAACGGCUCACCAAGGCGACGAUCAGUAGCCGACCUGAGAGGGUGACCGGCCACAUUGGGACUGAGACACGGCCCAAACUCC
Molecule: ribosomal RNA, 263 nt
Filed under: uncultured Lachnospiraceae bacterium
Lineage: Bacteria; Bacillati; Bacillota; Clostridia; Lachnospirales; Lachnospiraceae
Description: partial 16S ribosomal RNA
Rfam family: Bacterial small subunit ribosomal RNA
Source: RNAcentral